This 253-nucleotide ribosomal RNA is filed under the name uncultured bacterium. RNAcentral describes it as "partial 16S ribosomal RNA". It matches the Rfam family "Bacterial small subunit ribosomal RNA", at positions 524 to 776 of the family's 1533-position model. The record is from RNAcentral.
UACGUAGGGUGCAAGCGUUGUCCGGAAUUAUUGGGCGUAAAGAGCUCGUAGGCGGUUCGUCGCGUCGGCUGUGAAAACCCGGAGCUUAACUCCGGGCCUGCAGUCGAUACGGGCGGACUGGAGUUCGGCAGGGGAGACUGGAAUUCCUGGUGUAGCGGUGAAAUGCGCAGAUAUCAGGAGGAACACCAGCGGCGAAGGCGGCGCUCUGGGCUGGAACUGACGCUGAGGAGCGAAAGCGUGGGGAGCGAACAGG